This 458-nucleotide ribosomal RNA is filed under the name uncultured bacterium. Its description in RNAcentral is "partial 16S ribosomal RNA". It matches the Rfam family "Bacterial small subunit ribosomal RNA", at positions 339 to 795 of the family's 1533-position model. The record is from RNAcentral.
CCACGGGUGGCUGCAGUGAGGAAUAUUGGUCAAUGGACGAGAGUCUGAACCAGCCAAGUAGCGUGAAGGAUGACUGCCCUAUGGGUUGUAAACUUCUUUUGUCGGGGAGCAAAAGACGCCACGCGUGGCGUUCCGAGAGUACCCGAAGAAAAAGCAUCGGCUAACUCCGUGCCAGCAGCCGCGGUAAUACGGAGGAUGCGAGCGUUAUCCGGAUUUAUUGGGUUUAAAGGGUGCGCAGGCGGGAGAUCAAGUCAGCGGUAAAAUGUCGGGGCUCAACCCCGGCCGGCCGUUGAAACUGGUUUUCUAGAGUUGGAGAGAAGUAUGCGGAAUUCGUGGUGUAGCGGUGAAAUGCAUAGAUAUCACGAAGAACUCCGAUUGCGAAGGCAGCAUACCGGCUCCAUACUGACGCUGAGGCACGAAAGCGUGGGGAUCGAACAGGAUUAGAUACCCAAGUAGUC